Molecule: RNase P RNA, 342 nt
Filed under: uncultured Ruminococcus sp.
Lineage: Bacteria; Bacillati; Bacillota; Clostridia; Eubacteriales; Oscillospiraceae
Description: Bacterial RNase P class A
Rfam family: Bacterial RNase P class A
About the family: Ribonuclease P (RNase P) is a ubiquitous endoribonuclease, found in archaea, bacteria and eukarya as well as chloroplasts and mitochondria. Its best characterised activity is the generation of mature 5'-ends of tRNAs by cleaving the 5'-leader elements of precursor-tRNAs. Cellular RNase Ps are ribonucleoproteins.
Source: RNAcentral
AGGCGAUCGUGCGGCAGCGGCGUAUUAUAUUAUUUGCGCUGAGGAAAGUCCGAGCAUCGCAGAGCAGGGUAGUUGAUAACGUCAACCGAGGGCGACCUCCGAGCCAGUGCAACAGAAAUAUACCGCCGUGAAAACGGUAAGGGUGGAAAGGCGAGGUAAGAGCUCACCGGAGUGAUCGUGAGAUCACUGCCAUGUAAACCUUACCCGAUGCAACGCCAAUGGCAGCAUAACAGUCAAUGGCUGCUCGUCAGGCUGUUUGUUGUAGGCGGCUGGAGCUUCGCGGCGACGCGGAGCCAAGAUAGAUUGCCGCACUUGACAGAACUCGGCUUACAGAUCGGCUCG